AGUGUUUUUAAGACUUUUUUGCAAAUACAUGAAUGCAAAGCUUAUUUGCAAAACGGUUGGGAUGCUCUUAGCAGAAUAUUCAGCUGUUGGGAAAAUUAGCUGAAUCUGACGACCAAGUCUGUCUCUCUGCUCCCAUGGGCCCACCUGGACCCCACGCCUAAAACCGCAAAAGCAGAGCACGAAGCAGAACAGAGAAGCAGAUCCCACCACUCCCUCCUCUUCUUCACUUGCUCCGCCGCCGCGCCGCCCUUCGCUGCUCGGGCCCACCCGGCCAACCAUGGAAGCAGAUCCGCCACCGCCAGCGAGCGCGCUGAUGGAGGAGCUGGUGGAGGAGGUCCUGCUGCGCUUCCCACCUGCCGACCCAGCGAGCCUCGUCCGUGCCGCGCUCGUCUGCAGGCGCUGGCGCCGCCUCGUCACGGGGCCGCGGUUCCACCGCCGCUACCGCGACCUCCACCUCCACCGCGGGCGUGGGGGUUCGUCGCCCCCGAUGCUGGGCUUCCUCGCCGACGCGGGCACGGGGACCCUCUUCGUGCCCACCUCCACCUUCCGCCCCGCACCCGCAUCCGCGCGGGCUGGCACGGACGGCGGCGGCGGCGGCGCCCUUCUCCUCGGCGGUUGGCUCGCGCUCGACGCUCGCCACGGCCGCGCCCUCCUGCGCCGGGACACCGGCCGCGACGCGCCCGUCGACUGCCAGCUCGCCGUCUGGGACCCCGCCACGGGCCGCCGCACGGACCUGCCCCGCCUCCCCUGGUCGCCCUACUACCCCUACAGCUGGAACGCCGCGGUGCUCUGCGCCGCCGCGGCCACCACCGCCGCCGCCGCCGCCUGCGACCACCUCGACUGCUCCGGCGGCGGUGGCCACUUCGUCGUCGUUGUCGUGGGCACCAACCACGCGGAGAUGUACGCCCACGUCUACUCGUCCGAGACGGCCGCGUGGAGCGCGCCCGCGUCCGCUCGGCACCCCGACGACAACGUCGACUUCGCGCCGAGCGCGCUCGCGGGGGACGCGCUCUACUUCGCGUUCCAGACGGGCACGGCGGCCCUGGAGUUUGAUUUGCGCACGCGGGAGAUGGCGGUGGUGCGCCUGCCGCAGCCACGCUUUCACUGGCAGCGCGUCGUGCUCGCCAGCAGGGAGGAUGGUCGUCGUCUGGGACUCGCCACGGCAGGCAAGUCCGCGAUCUACCUGUGGGCGAGGGAGGCGCGGUCUGGAAGUGAUGGGGAUUGGGUACAUACCAGAGCCGUCGAGCUCGACACGCUGCUCCCUGCUGGUGCCAUUUCAGCCUUUCCUGAUGUGGUUAGCUUUGUGGAGGGCGUCGGUGUCGUUAUUGUGAGGACGGGUGAUGGGCUCUUCACCAUUGAUCUCAAGUCUCUCCAGAUCACAAAGGUUUUCAACGACACUGCCUUCUCUGGCAUUUUCCCCUACAUGAGCUUCUACACACCAGCACUGGAAGUUGCCUCAACUGGUCAGGGGCCAAGUUCAGGUGCAUAAGGUGCUUAUGUGCUGGUUUCUCAGUCAAGGGGAAACUUAGUUGCUUCUCGUUCUUACCCUUCCUGCAGCGUUGUCUUCCUGAGGAGCAAGAGAGAACUCCCAAAUGGAAAGUUUCCUUUCUGCAGUCUUGGAAGAAUGGUUUAUUUUUUAAUCCAUUUGCUAGGCGGCGGCAGUCAAGAGCCUUCUGAAGAUUUGAUGAUUUUUCAUCAGUAUCACCAGUGUUCGCAAGUGGAGGUUCCAAGAUAAGAAUCCAAGAUGUGCUGUAUGGAAGCAUCGAGAGACAAGGAAAAUUUGAGGUCCAAAUUACAGGUGUGAAGAGGAAGCAUUGUAUGAAAGAUGGAGCCAGAUUCUGUUAAUUUUGUCAUUUUCUGGUUUAUGCAGAGUUAAUUCUGAUGUGCAUGAGUCCUUGCCUUAUGGAGAUGGCAAGCCAAGCAGAGUCUCGCUGGUUCAAGAAGAUUUGGCAUCCCACCAAUCUCUGGCCCAAAAGAGUUGGAAAUUGACUGGAGUUAGUUGUAAUAAUUUUUUUUUUGACAUCACAUGAUUGAAUAGGCAUACAGAUCUGUCAAGGACCUGUACUGUAACUGUGCAGCAGUUUGAUCUGGUAUACUGCUUGCUCUGUUUUCUUGUGUACACUUGAAUGAUUGCAAUCAUAGUCAUAGUGCUCAAAUCACACCAACUUAAAGGUAUCUACUGCAAUAUGCUAAGGCCCUGUUUGGUUCCUCUAGAUUUUUUUUUACUCC
Sorghum bicolor (sorghum) is the source of this 2229-nucleotide RNA transcript. RefSeq lists it as uncharacterized. NCBI's taxonomy places the organism in Eukaryota, Viridiplantae, Streptophyta, Magnoliopsida, Poales, Poaceae. The transcript is spliced from 4 exons. The record is from RefSeq and is a predicted model, not a curated record.